Molecule: ribosomal RNA, 253 nt
Filed under: uncultured bacterium
Lineage: Bacteria
Description: partial 16S ribosomal RNA
Rfam family: Bacterial small subunit ribosomal RNA
Source: RNAcentral
UACGUAGGGGGCAAGCGUUGUCCGGAAUCAUUGGGCGUAAAGAGCGCGUAGGCGGCCCGAUAAGUCCGCUGUGAAAGUCAAGGGCUUAACCCUUGAAUGCCGGUGGAAACUGUCGGGCUAGAGUCCGGAAGAGGCGAGUGGAAUUCCUGGUGUAGCGGUGAAAUGCGCAGAUAUCAGGAAGAACACCUAUGGCGAAGGCAGCUCUCUGGGACGGUACUGACGCUGAGACGCGAAAGCGUGGGGAGCGAACAGG